Molecule: long non-coding RNA, 1190 nt
Organism: Peromyscus californicus insignis
Lineage: Eukaryota; Metazoa; Chordata; Mammalia; Rodentia; Cricetidae
Exons: 2
Source: RefSeq, a predicted model, not a curated record
AACUAUGACGACGGGGCUGGCGUGGAGCCCCGGAUGGGAGCCUCGGUGCGCGCCGAAUGCAAUUGGUUUGGAGGGAUGCGGAGGCUGGCGUUGGGCAAGGGUCGAUCCGAGGUCACCUGUCUGACAUGAGCACCAGGAGGAAGCUAUGGCAGUGGAAGUCUGGGCGACAAGUUCUCAUAUAUCUCAAGCAGGCCUCAAAUGUGCUCUGUAGUGAUGGCUUUGAAUUUCUGAUCCUCCUGCCUCCGUCUUCCAAGUACUGGGAUUACGGACGCGCACCACCAUGCCCCAUUUGUGUGAUGCUGGAGAUGGAGCCAGCACUGUGUACAUAGGAAGAUAAGAAGAUAGGAAGAAUUCUACCAACUGAGCUACAUUCCAAGCCUGAGUUCAGUUUGAAGUCUGAGGUAAAGUGAACUUUUUUCCAGCAAUGAUAAAAAUCCAAAGAGGAAUAUCUUGCGGAACUUGCUAUAUAGCCAAGGAUGACUUUGAACUUCUGAUCCCCCUGCUUCCACUUCUGAGUGCUUGGACUACAGGUGUGCACCACUAAGUGGUUUCUGUGGUGCUGGGGAUCAAACCGAGAACUUCACACAGGCUAAGCAGGCACUUUACUUAGCUUCCUCCAGUCCUUAGACACAGCAUUUGUUAGUUUUGUUCUGAGUUUAGGAUUUCUCUGUGUAACUAAGGCUGUUCUGGAACUCACUCUGUAGACUAGGCUGGCCUCAAACUCACAGAGAUCCACCUGCCUCUGCCUCCUGAGUGCUGGGAUUGAAGGCGUGUGCCACCACUGCUGGCUACAUGCACCAUUUUUGAAACAACCUUUUAGAAUAUAUACAUACCAUUUAGUGCCUUGCUCUUCAAAAGACACAAUCUCCUUUAAACUGAACAUUAUAAAUACAAAAUUUUAUUAAACUUCUUUUGUUAUUCACAAAGGCUGCUUGUACUGUUACACACAGCAAAUGGAGAGCUCAAGACUUCCACCGUCUUGACAACCACUUUCCUUCCCUCCAACGGCGUCCACCGUCUUGACCAUUUUCCUUCCCUCCAACGGCGUCCACCGUCUUGACAACCAUUUUCCUUCCCUCCAACGGCGUCCACCGUCUUGACAACCAUUUUCUCUUUCUCCAACGGUGUUAACUUUCAAAGUCAGUUGCUUGUAAAUAAAGCUUUUAAUAAAUUACAAGUGUGUAAUAGGU